ACCAGUUUGCUAGUUCGUUUUUUUUUUCUUUUUUAUUCUUAUCUUUUUUUCAAGACAUAUUUCGUCUCGUUUUGGUUUUUUUUUCUUCAGAAAAAGAAAAAAGAAAAAAAAAAAAAAAAAUGAAAAAUUCACUAAUUUCUAAAAUACUUACAGAAGCAGAAAUUACUGAGUUAGGUUUACAUAGUAGCUUAUUAAAACCAUGUUCAUGUCCUUUUAUUUUAAACAAGAAACAUUAUAUCAAGAUUUGUAAAUUAUAUUUGCUGAAUAUUGUAUUAUUUUUUUUUGUUUAUAUCACUGUUUGUGUGAUUUUAUUAAUUAAUUGUAAAAAAGAAUUAAAUAAAGCUAUAGAACUCAUAAUAUAUAUAUACUUGUUUGUUUACUUUUAUAUUGGUCUUAUAAUAAGCAACAAUAUUAAGUACUACUUAGUGAAAAAAUAUAACGUAAAAGAAGUACGCAAGAGAUUGUGUACAACGUAUUUAAGAAGAACCAAAAAGAAUAGAGAUAAAAAAAAAAAAGAAAAAAAAAAAAAGAUAAACAAAAAAGAGAUAAUAAGCAUAAACAAGCAAAAUACACGUACUGUUAAAAAAAGUAAAACUACAAACAAAAAAAACGAAUGUACCUACAAAAAGUAUAAAACGUUAACUGGAAAACUGUUUUCGAAAGAAAAAUAUUAUUUGGUUAAUAAUGGUGAAGAAGAAAAUCAAUUGGAAUUAAAUAACAACAAUUUUGUACCUGAAUGCAAAUAUUAUUUAUUAGAUGAUUUAAAAAAUGUGAGUGAAGAUAUAAAUAUUGAGCUAUUAAAAUAUAUUCAAUAUGAAAAUAAUAAUUAUACAAUAAAUAAUAAUAAGUAUGAUAUAUUUUUAAUAAUAGCAGGUGUUAUUAAUCAAUUAAAUAUUUUCGUUGAUAUAAUUUUUUUGUUUUAUUUAUAUGAUUAUAAUAUAUAUAUGUUAUAUGCUGGCUUAUGUAUUUGUGCUUAUUACCUUAUCCACUUUUUUAUUAUUAUUAAAUAUACUAUAAUUAUUAUCAAAUCAUUGAUAUGGAUAUAUAAAAAGCCAUUUUUUAAAUAUUAUAAAAACGCUGUAUCACAGUGGGAAUGGGUUUUUAGAUAUUACCUUACUAAGACAAGGGGGAUGUUUAAACGUAGUGAGCUAUAUAUGUACAUGUAUAUAUGUGUAUACAUAACAAAUAGACAUAUGUCGUUUAUUACAACAUUAUUCUAAAUAUAUACACAUAUACAUACAUAUAUAUAUAUAUAUAUAUAAUAUGCACUUUUUUUUUUCUUUUUUUUCUUUUUUUUU
Molecule: long non-coding RNA, 1298 nt
Filed under: Piliocolobus tephrosceles (Ugandan red Colobus)
Lineage: Eukaryota; Metazoa; Chordata; Mammalia; Primates; Cercopithecidae
Description: lncRNA (ENSPTEG00000012320.1)
Source: RNAcentral